AUUAACCAAUCCGCACUCGGUUCAACUCUAGAGCUUUCUUAUCCUAUUGAGCUCGAAAUUCCUAGGGCUGACGUCUAGUUGAUUUUAAAUUAAGGUCUAGGUUAUGCAAAUGCAAGGGAGUGAUUUGUGGGCUAAGGAAGGGUGAUCAAAUCUCCACCUUAUCUUAGUUAAUGGGUUGCACCCUUAAAGUUAAUUAUGGAGAUGAGAUGCAAAGAAAUAAGGUGUCCAAUCAAGUUAGAAAUUUUUAUAUUUGGGGUUAUGCUAUUUUAGUUAAGUGUUAUGAAAUGUCAGUGGCUUUUUUUUUU
This 305-nucleotide long non-coding RNA is filed under the name Elaeis guineensis (African oil palm). RNAcentral describes it as "long non-coding RNA (EGUI_LNC064138)". Lineage: Eukaryota; Viridiplantae; Streptophyta; Magnoliopsida; Arecales; Arecaceae. The record is from RNAcentral.